Molecule: long non-coding RNA, 209 nt
Filed under: Elaeis guineensis (African oil palm)
Lineage: Eukaryota; Viridiplantae; Streptophyta; Magnoliopsida; Arecales; Arecaceae
Description: long non-coding RNA (EGUI_LNC071796)
Source: RNAcentral
CCGACCGUCCGGACUUCUCCGAUAAUGAACUUCUACAUUCAUCUAUCGGGCCGUCCCAAAAGCUCUCUGGGCCUCACUGCCAGUCGACCUUCUACAGUAAUCAACUAUUCUCCGAAUCCCUACUCCAAACUUCUUCCGGACUUCGUCAGCAUCUGAGCUUCUCCGACAAUAAGAUUUCUACAGUAACCAGACUCCAUCCAAGUUUCUAC